UAGGGAAUCUUCCGCAAUGGACGAAAGUCUGACGGAGCAACGCCGCGUGAGUGAAGAAGGAUUUCGGUUCGUAAAACUCUGUUGUUAGGGAAGAAAAAAUGUAUAGUAACUAUAUACAAAAGAGACGGUACCUAACCAGAAAGCCACGGCUAACUACGUGCCAGCAGCCGCGGUAAUACGUAGGUGGCAAGCGUUGUCCGGAAUUAUUGGGCGUAAAGCGCGCGCAGGUGGUUUAGAAAGUCUGAUGUGAAAGCCCACGGCUCAACCGUGGGGGGUCAUUGGAAACUAAUAAACUUGAGUGCAGGAGAGAAAAGUGGAAUUCCUAGUGUAGCGGUGAAAUGCGUAGAGAUUAGGAGGAACCCCGGUGGCGAAAGCGGCUUUUUGGCCUGCAACUGACACUGAGGCGCGAAAGCGUGGGGAGCAAACAGG
RNAcentral lists this ribosomal RNA (429 nucleotides) under Verrucomicrobiota bacterium. RNAcentral's name for it is "Verrucomicrobia bacterium partial 16S ribosomal RNA". It matches the Rfam family "Bacterial small subunit ribosomal RNA", at positions 355 to 776 of the family's 1533-position model. Lineage: Bacteria; Pseudomonadati; Verrucomicrobiota. The record is from RNAcentral.